Molecule: ribosomal RNA, 403 nt
Filed under: uncultured bacterium
Lineage: Bacteria
Description: bacterial SSU rRNA
Rfam family: Bacterial small subunit ribosomal RNA
Source: RNAcentral
UGGGGAAUAUUGGACAAUGGGGGCAACCCUGAUCCAGCAAUGCCGCGUGAGUGAUGAAGGCCUUAGGGUUGUAAAGCUCUUUCGCACGCGACGAUGAUGACGGUAGCGUGAGAAGAAGCCCCGGCUAACUUCGUGCCAGCAGCCGCGGUAAUACGAAGGGGGCUAGCGUUGUUCGGAAUUACUGGGCGUAAAGGGCGCGCAGGCGGUCUUCCAAGUCAGAUGUGAAAGCCCCGGGCUCAACCUGGGAACAGCAUUUGAGACUGGGAGACUUGAGUUCGGGAGAGGAGAGCGGAAUUCCCAGUGUAGAGGUGAAAUUCGUAGAUAUUGGGAAGAACACCGGUGGCGAAGGCGGCUCUCUGGACCGAUACUGACGCUGAGGCGCGAAAGCGUGGGGAGCAAACAG